This 309-nucleotide ribosomal RNA is filed under the name uncultured bacterium. RNAcentral's name for it is "partial 16S ribosomal RNA". It matches the Rfam family "Bacterial small subunit ribosomal RNA", at positions 504 to 808 of the family's 1533-position model. The record is from RNAcentral.
AGAGACAGCAGUCGCCACGGUAAUACGUAGGUCCCGAGCGUUGUCCGGAUUUAUUGGGCGUAAAGCGAGCGCAGGCGGUUAGAUAAGUCUGAAGUUAAAGGCUGUGGCUUAACCAUAGUACGCUUUGGAAACUGUUUAACUUGAGUGCAAGAGGGGAGAGUGGAAUUCCAUGUGUAGCGGUGAAAUGCGUAGAUAUAUGGAGGAACACCGGUGGCGAAAGCGGCUCUCUGGCUUGUAACUGACGCUGAGGCUCGAAAGCGUGGGGAGCAAACAGGAUUAGAUACCCCAGUAGUCCCUGUCUCUUAUACA